Long non-coding RNA from Chiroxiphia lanceolata (lance-tailed manakin), 584 nucleotides. RefSeq lists it as uncharacterized. NCBI's taxonomy places the organism in Eukaryota, Metazoa, Chordata, Aves, Passeriformes, Pipridae. The transcript is spliced from 4 exons. The record is from RefSeq and is a predicted model, not a curated record.
CAGAGGGAUGGACUUUGUUGGUGGUGCAGGGUAAAUGAAAGAGCCAGUACCAGCCCAAAAAGCCAAGGUGAUCCCAGCUAAGAGGCCUCCAAGAGCACCCUUGGCAAGUGUAGAAAGAUGCUGUUAAAGCAAGAAAUACCUGCACGACUCCUCCCAUCAGCGACGCUGCUGCAGCCAUGGAAGUGCACAGGACACCGUAUAACACGCCUGGAAAAGAUCAGGAAAGAAAAAUAAAACAGACCAGAUGCUGCACUUGAGCUGUCUGAAAAGGCAUGGCUAAUCAGCUUUUUAACAGAGUGUGAUGACUAGGUACUCCAUGACAUAGCACCAUCUGAGAACUGACACCACUGGAGGAGAAACAAUUAAUCUGGAAAUGAUAAUAUAGAAAUUGGGACACAUCUGUAUAGAAGGCUUGGACUAACACUCUUUUGGAAACAAGUGUCUUGGAAUGAGUUUUUUUCCCCUUGGAGUUAUGAGUGAAAUUUGUGAGACUGCUUUUAUAUUGCUCUGAUGGAAACACAGGCAGUGUGAUUGAGCACCUUGCUUACGAAUUAGUAGUAGUAGAGUAACACUCUUGCACUUCA